GCGCCAGCAGCCGCGGUAAUACGUAGGGUGCAAGCGUUAAUCGGAAUUACUGGGCGUAAAGCGUGCGCAGGCGGUUUUGUAAGACAGUGGUGAAAUCCCCGGGCUCAACCUGGGAACUGCCAUUGUGACUGCAAGGCUGGAGUGCGGCAGAGGGGGAUGGAAUUCCGCGUGUAGCAGUGAAAUGCGUAGAUAUGCGGAGGAACACCGAUGGCGAAGGCAAUCCCCUGGGCCUGCACUGACGCUCAUGCACGAAAGCGUGGGGAGCAAACAGGAUUAGAUACCCUGGUAGUCC
RNAcentral lists this ribosomal RNA (292 nucleotides) under uncultured microorganism. RNAcentral describes it as "partial 16S ribosomal RNA". It matches the Rfam family "Bacterial small subunit ribosomal RNA", at positions 505 to 796 of the family's 1533-position model. The record is from RNAcentral.